UGCAGAGGAGUCUUAUGAAAUCAGAUGUGGUUUUAGAUGUCUGAAAGAGUUUCUUUAGGCUAAAGGCAGCCGAAGAUCAAUUGCACUGUUGGCAACUGUGCUUCCAGGUGGUUGGAGCCUCUCUUGAGGGACAGUUUCAACCCAGGGCCCAUUGCAAUGGUAGUACAGGAAAGGGCUUUCAUUUGCUUUUGGGCUAAGGACCUUCUGCUGCCUAGUUCCACAGUGAGAAGAGAAACUGGAGAUGAUGUGGGAGAGUGACAACAGCAUUAUUACUGCUGAUAUGAAGAAAAGAUGGAAACAGCCUCCGGAAGGUCAAGGUGAGACUGACCAACACCUGAUUGCUGGUAUUCACCAGCAGUAAUAAAUUCCUGAUCACAGGUGCUGGAAGUCUCUUCAGAGAAACAACAUUGCUGCAGGGGACAAACAACUAGUCCUGACCUUCUUUAUACAGCCAUUCUCUGGGAAAAAGUAUCCCCUGAAGUCAAUGUGGAUUCUGUCUAGCUUUCAUCAGAAGAAAAAUGCCCGGACUGAAAUGACAACAACAAAUAAUAGGUGCUGGUGAUUUGCACUCUCUCUACCUAAAUCAGAUAUCUGGCACAUCAAUACUUAGAAGGCUUAGGAGAAGAAGAAAACAUCAAUAUUUCACUGAACAAAAAAAGUUGCACAACUCCCCAGUCUUUAUUUUAAUGUCAGCUGUUAGUUCAUAGUUUUUCUUUUUUUUUCUGUAAGAUGAUUGAUUUCCACUGCUUUUUGAAUCCCACCUGUGCAAAUAGCUUGUUUUUCUCCCUAGCAAGUGUUAACAAGGAACUGCGAGGGUUUUGCUCAGGCUCAGUAGUCAGGCAGUCCUGGGGUGCCUGACUUCUAGGAAAAGCCACAGCAGGAACAAAUGAGAGCCAGCCUACGCACCAGGCACAGCUUUUGCUGGUCCUCAGCCUAUGUUCCAGCUCACACUGAUGGUGAAUGAAUCGCCGUUAGCAACUGCAACGCAGACCAACGCCAGGAGGACAGAUCCGGACGAGCUGGAUGCUUCAUCAUGGAGCUGCCCUUAGAAAGGAUGGCCCAUUAUAAGGCAGCUUCACCCUCCUCAACAGAGCCCACGGCAAUUUAGGACUUGCUCUGCUCUAGUCUGUGCAAUUUCAUCCUUUGUGUGAACCAGAUCAUGCAACUGGGGGCACCGGAGUCACAGGGAAGUCGAGUUCCACACGAGGGCUGGCAUGAGAAGGAGCAGCAAUUAGCUCUAAAUUCACUCUUACCAGCAUGUCAUUUCUGUGCUCUUCCCUGCUGCUCUGCAACUGGAAGCCUUGUGCUCUAGAAGAAGGGGAGAAGAACAUUUUGCUCAUGCUCAUAUUAAUCAAGUCAUCUUGUGAGCUGCUGAAUCUGUGAAAUUGUAUCUCCCAUGGAGUUCAGUGGUAAUGACUGUCUUCGAUGUGGACUCUCUGGUGUCUAAUAAUACAGUUAUAUUUCUGCAGUGGAUGCACUCCCAGCAUUUUUUCUCCUCUGCCUGCCUACUUCCACAGCACUUGUAGGCAGCUCAAACCUUUGAGACUUCUAUCCCCUGUCAAGUUUGAUCAAACUCAGUUCACAGGCUCAAAAAUUAUUUAGGAGGGACCGACUGGCACUUGCAUAGACAGUGUGAUCUCAUAAGCUUCCUUUCCUUGGGAAACUAGGCUACCAACCUAGCAACGGGGUGAAAAAAAAGCCAUCCUGCUAGCAAAGAGGACCUAAACACCAGGAGGAAAGAGGGGAGGUGGGAGAGGAAAGUAAAGCUAUUUUGAAGGGCAAAAAAUUGCUGCCUGGUGGCUGCAGAGCUCUCACACACUUAAAGGGCCAGCCUUGGAGAUACAUGCUGGAGAAAAUAUUCUCCACGAGAUGGAAAGUUUUCUCAUGAAAAUUGGUAAGGGAAAGAGAUGACCUGGAUUCAUCUCACCACCUGGCAUGCUGAAUGGAUAUCUCUAUGGCAAGGAUUGUCUCUGGUGACACUCGUUCCUCCCUGUGGAUUAGAAGAAGACACAGACACAAUUAGCAUGCAACCUGUAUGCCUGCAGCAUCUAAAGCGAGGUGUGUUCUGUCCCAAAGGGAAUUAUCUUCUUCCCACUCUCUCCUUCAGACCAAAGUUUUCCAUGGUGCUGCUGCAGGGUUUGUUACUUCAUGUACUACAUUUGUAUUUUAGAAAAGCUGCUGUGUGUCUUAAGAGCUGCAGAUGUAUGCAUGGUUUUACUGGGCAUUUAUUAUCACGUAUCCUCUUUGCACUGAAACCUUUCCUGUCCUUGUAUCUUACGGAAUAAAAUUCUUUAAGUGAGCUUUAA
Molecule: long non-coding RNA, 2306 nt
Organism: Vidua macroura (Pin-tailed whydah)
Lineage: Eukaryota; Metazoa; Chordata; Aves; Passeriformes; Viduidae
Exons: 4
Source: RefSeq, a predicted model, not a curated record